AUCUUCGUUCACUCUUCAUUUUUUUUAAUGUGCCCUGUCUUUCUCUUUUCUCUGUAUUUCUAGCAUCCACCACCAUGAUGAGGAAGAUCAUAUCUUACUGGCGAGAACACUCUGAUCUUCAAGCUCUGAGGAGAUCGUCGUCUUCACCGUCGUCUUCAAGCUCUGUAUUUCUUUCUUUCUUCUCAAUUUCUUUUUGUUUUUAAUUUAAAUUAUUUUGGCGAUUUUCUUAGCUAAAAUUAGGGGCGUUUUGUUUGAUUCGUUUUGUAGCAAAGCUAGUAUAUAUCAGUUAUACAAAGAGGGGAACCAAUGAAGAAGUGAGGUGCAGCACGGUGAAGUUCAUGGAGGUUUGAGAAGCAAGAAGAAAAAGAGAGGCCAACGUGCUGUUGGAGGGGAUAAGAGUGGAAGAGGGCUCUGCCAAUUUAGUAUGAAAGUGUGUGAGAAGGUGGAAAGCAAGGGAAGAACAACUUAUAAUGAGCAAUGCCUACUGGCGACCUUCACCUGGCUACUGGCCAAGUUCCAAAUUCAGGUCUAUGAGCUUUUACAAAGGGUUUAGAAAUCUUUGGGGCCCUCACCAAAGCUUAGACCAAAAUGCAUUAACAAUUUGGCUUGAUAGAACCUCAGGAAAUGGCUUCAAGUCAAUUAGUCCAUUUCGAUCCGGGUACUUUGGUGUUAUAACGGCUUUCUAUGUAAUGUUCAAAUGAUUUGACAAAAGAAUAUGUUAAUUGAUGGAAGCUUACACAUUUAUGUUUGGUUUGUUAAAUCAUGCACAGUUUAUGUAGGAUAUAAUCUCAGUGUAUAUCCUACAGGCACAUCUAUAUUUCUCUCAGGUAAGGGCAGCAAAAAGUAGCAGAAUGAGGACACAGUAGCUUGAUUACGUAUAGAUCCAUAAACUUGAGUUUAUAUAUUUGGGAAUGUAUUUUAAUACCCUAGCUCGUGCCCUGAAUACCUUCUGUUUAUUAUAGUUUAGUCUUCUUGUGGAUUGUAAUGACAUUAUAUUCAGUUGACGAACAAUAUUA
Gastrolobium bilobum is the source of this 1016-nucleotide long non-coding RNA. RefSeq lists it as uncharacterized. Lineage: Eukaryota; Viridiplantae; Streptophyta; Magnoliopsida; Fabales; Fabaceae. The record is from RefSeq and is a predicted model, not a curated record. The transcript is spliced from 5 exons.